CCUCUGGAGAACAUGCAAUGUACUGUGUAGGUUACCAGCAUUGGCUGUGAAAUCAGAUUGCCAAGAUUCAAGAAGUGGCUCUGCCACUUCCAAGUUCUUGUGACCUUCUCAAGCCUUGGUUUUCUUAUCUAUAAAACUGUGAUAAUCAAUUUUGCGGCUAUGAUAAUCAAUUUUGUGAUUCAUUUGCACGGAGAAGAUAGUAGAAGCUAUGCUAGUGGAUAAGAUAACAAUGGAGAGUAUAGAAAGGAAAGAAAAGAGGGCCUAGGAUAGUGGUGUAGGGAAAUACUGCAUUUUAAUGGAUGAAAAGAGGGCUAGUUUAGGAUAAAUGGAAGGA
Molecule: long non-coding RNA, 334 nt
Filed under: Pan troglodytes (chimpanzee)
Lineage: Eukaryota; Metazoa; Chordata; Mammalia; Primates; Hominidae
Description: long non-coding RNA NONPTRT013190
Source: RNAcentral